GGGGGAUUAGCUCAGCCGGCUAGAGCACCUGCUUUGCAAGCAGGGGGUCAUCGGUUCGAAUCCGAUAUUCUCCAC
This 75-nucleotide transfer RNA is filed under the name Porphyromonas gingivalis. RNAcentral's name for it is "tRNA-Ala(tgc)". It matches the Rfam family "tRNA". From Rfam's summary of the family: Transfer RNA (tRNA) molecules are approximately 80 nucleotides in length. The record is from RNAcentral. Lineage: Bacteria; Pseudomonadati; Bacteroidota; Bacteroidia; Bacteroidales; Porphyromonadaceae.